AUUGAACGCUGGCGGCAGGCCUAACACAUGCAAGUCGAGCGGAUGAAGGGAGCUUGCUCCUGGAUUCAGCGGCGGACGGGCGAGUAAUGCCUAGGAAUCUGCCUGGCAGUGGGGGAUAACGUCCGGAAACGGGCGCUAAUACCGCAUACGUCCUGAGGGAGAAAGUGGGGGAUCUUCGGACCUCACGCUACCAGAUGAGCCUAGGUCGGAUUAGCUAGUUGGUUGGGUAAAGGCCUACCAAGGCGACGAUCCGUAACUGGUCUGAGAGGAUGAUCAGUCACACUGGAACUGAGACACGGUCCAGACUCCUACGGGAGGCAGCAGUGGGGAAUAUUGGACAAUGGGCGAAAGCCUGAUCCAGCCAUGCCGCGUGUGUGAAGAAGGUCUUCGGAUUGUAAAGCACUUUAAGUUGGGAGGAAGGGCAGUAAGUUAAUACCUUGCUGUUUUGACGUUACCAACAGAAUAAGCACCGGCUAACUUCGUG
Molecule: ribosomal RNA, 484 nt
Filed under: uncultured bacterium
Lineage: Bacteria
Description: partial 16S ribosomal RNA
Rfam family: Bacterial small subunit ribosomal RNA
Source: RNAcentral